This 250-nucleotide ribosomal RNA is filed under the name uncultured prokaryote. RNAcentral describes it as "partial 16S ribosomal RNA". It matches the Rfam family "Bacterial small subunit ribosomal RNA", at positions 524 to 774 of the family's 1533-position model. The record is from RNAcentral.
UACGUAGGGGGCAAGCGUUAUCCGGAUUUACUGGGUGUAAAGGGAGCGUAGACGGUGCAGCAAGUCUGAUGUGAAAACCCGGGGCUCAACUCCGGGAUUGCAUUGGAAACUGUUGUACUUGAGUGCAGGAGAGGUAAGUGGAAUUCCUAGUGUAGCGGUGAAGUGCGUAGAUAUUAGGAGGAACACCGGCGCGAAGGGGGCUUACUGGACUGUAACUGACGUCGAGGCUCGAAAGCGUGGGGAGCAAACA